This 304-nucleotide long non-coding RNA is filed under the name Elaeis guineensis (African oil palm). RNAcentral's name for it is "long non-coding RNA (EGUI_LNC065554)". The record is from RNAcentral. Lineage: Eukaryota; Viridiplantae; Streptophyta; Magnoliopsida; Arecales; Arecaceae.
GGUGCUCUUAUGGUAUGUAGGGAUGCUAUAUGAUUAGAUCCCAUAAAGAAGAAUACGAAAAGAAGAACUUAUUUUUCUGCAAAAUCUUAGAUCUUGAAACCCUAGGUUUGUUGUAUGUGAUACAAAGUUAUAUAAAAAAUAAAUUAUCUAAUCUAUAUGAUUAAAAUUAUUUUAAUCAUGAUAAAAUAAAAUCUUGAAUCAUAAAAAAUUUUAGCUAUUGUCUAAAAGAUGUUUAUGAUUAAUUUUAUUUUAAAAUUAUGUAAGAUUUUUCAGAUCUGAAACUCCUUGAAUCGUGCUCACACAA